Molecule: transfer RNA, 73 nt
Organism: Paenibacillus pini JCM 16418
Lineage: Bacteria; Bacillati; Bacillota; Bacilli; Caryophanales; Paenibacillaceae
Rfam family: tRNA
About the family: Transfer RNA (tRNA) molecules are approximately 80 nucleotides in length. Their secondary structure includes four short double-helical elements and three loops (D, anti-codon, and T loops).
Source: Rfam
GGAGGCUUAGCUCAGCUGGGAGAGCAUCUGCCUUACAAGCAGAGGGUCGGGGGUUCGAUCCCCUCAGCCUCCA